This 244-nucleotide unclassified non-coding RNA is filed under the name Ascomycota sp. RNAcentral describes it as "partial contains small subunit ribosomal RNA, internal transcribed spacer 1, and 5.8S ribosomal RNA". The stretch from base 1 to 47 matches the Rfam family "Eukaryotic small subunit ribosomal RNA", at positions 1785 to 1831 of the family's 1831-position model. Lineage: Eukaryota; Fungi; Ascomycota. The record is from RNAcentral.
AAAGUCGUAACAAGGUUUCCGUAGGUGAACCUGCGGAAGGAUCAUUACCGAGAGACGGGCCCUAACCGGUCCCAACUCUUCACCCCUGUCUACCGAAAUAUGUUGCUUUGGCGGGCCAACCGGGCUUCCCCGGGGAAGGCUGACCCCUUCUCGUGCCCGCCAAAGGCCUCAAUAAACCCUGUGAUCAGUGUCGUCCGAGUAAAAACAAUCGUUAAAACUUUCAACAACGGAUCUCUUGGUUCCG